GACAGAGGGUGCAAACGUUGUUCGGAUUUACUGGGUGUAAAGGGUUCGUAGGCGGUGUGGCAAGUCGGGAGUGAAAUCUCUGGGCUCAACCCAGGGGCUGCUUCCGAAACUGCCGUGCUAGAGUGUGGGAGAGGCGCGUGGAAUUGCAGGUGUAGCGGUGAAAUGCGUAGAUAUCUGCAGGAACACCCGUGGCGAAAGCGGCGCGCUGGACCACUACUGACGCUGAGGAACGAAAGCUAGGGGAGCAAACAGG
This 253-nucleotide ribosomal RNA is filed under the name uncultured bacterium. RNAcentral's name for it is "partial 16S ribosomal RNA". It matches the Rfam family "Bacterial small subunit ribosomal RNA", at positions 524 to 776 of the family's 1533-position model. The record is from RNAcentral.